UCGAACGUGGUGUAUGGUGGCACUGCCUUGACUCAUGACUGUACUAGUAGUCGGGAUCACAAUAUCGAAGGCAAGUCGGGGUUCGACUCCCCGCGUUCGAA
Mycena rebaudengoi is the source of this 101-nucleotide non-coding RNA. NCBI's taxonomy places the organism in Eukaryota, Fungi, Basidiomycota, Agaricomycetes, Agaricales, Mycenaceae. The record is from the annotation of a GenBank genome assembly.